UCGAGCGGUAUUGUUUCUUCGGAAACGAGAGAGCGGCGCACGGGUGCGGAACACGUGUGCAACCUGCCUUUAUCUGGGGGAUAGCCUUUCGAAAGGAAGAUUAAUACCCCAUAAUAUUUUGAAUGGCAUCAUUUAAAAUUGAAAACUCCGGUGGAUAGAGAUGGGCACGCGCAAGAUUAGAUAGUUGGUAGGGUAACGGCCUACCAAGUCAGUGAUCUUUAGGGGGCCUGGGAGGGUGAUCCCCCACACUGGUACUGAGACACGGACCAGACUCCUACGGGAGGCAGCAGUGAGGAAUAUUGGACAAUGGGUGAGAGCCUGAUCCAGCCAUCCCGCGUGAAGGACGACGGCCCUAUGGGUUGUAAACUUCUUUUGUACAGGGAUAAACCUUUCCACGUGUGGAAAGCUGAAGGUACUGUACGAAUAAGCACCGGGCUACUCCGUG
This 445-nucleotide ribosomal RNA is filed under the name uncultured bacterium. Its description in RNAcentral is "bacterial SSU rRNA". It matches the Rfam family "Bacterial small subunit ribosomal RNA", at positions 62 to 507 of the family's 1533-position model. The record is from RNAcentral.